CCUACGGGAGGCAGCAGUGAGGAAUAUUGGUCAAUGGGCGGGAGCCUGAACCAGCCAAGUCGCGUGAGGGAAGACGGUCCUACGGAUUGUAAACCUCUUUUGCCGGGGAGCAACGGGGUCCUUGCGAGGGCCCGAUGAGAGUACCCGGAGAAAAAGCAUCGGCUAACUCCGUGCCAGCAGCCGCGGUAAUACGGAGGAUGCGAGCGUUAUCCGGAUUUAUUGGGUUUAAGGGGAGCGUAGACGGGUAUGUAAGUCUGGAGUGAAAGCCCGGGGCCCAACCCCGGGACUGCUUUGGAAACUGUGUAACUGGAGUACAGGAGGGGCAGGCGGAAGUCGUGGUGUAGCGGUGAAAUGCGUAGAUAUCAGGAGGAACACCGGCGGCGAAGGCGGCCUGCUGGACUGAAACUGACGUUGAGGCUCGAAAGCGUGGGGAGCAAACAGGAUUAGAUACCCGGGUAGUC
This 461-nucleotide ribosomal RNA is filed under the name uncultured bacterium. RNAcentral's name for it is "partial 16S ribosomal RNA". It matches the Rfam family "Bacterial small subunit ribosomal RNA", at positions 338 to 795 of the family's 1533-position model. The record is from RNAcentral.